RNAcentral lists this ribosomal RNA (232 nucleotides) under uncultured Enterobacterales bacterium. RNAcentral's name for it is "partial 16S ribosomal RNA". It matches the Rfam family "Bacterial small subunit ribosomal RNA", at positions 99 to 334 of the family's 1533-position model. Lineage: Bacteria; Pseudomonadati; Pseudomonadota; Gammaproteobacteria; Enterobacterales. The record is from RNAcentral.
CGGACGGGUGAGUAAUGUCUGGUAAACUGCCUGAUGGAGGGGGAUAACUACUGGAAACGGUAGCUAAUACCGCAUAACGUCGCAAGACCAAAGAGGGGGACCUUCGGGCCUCUUGCCAUCAGAUGUGCCCAGAUGGGAUUAGCUAGUAGGUGGGGUAACGGCUCACCUAGGCGACGAUCCCUAGCUGGUCUGAGAGGAUGACCAGCCACACUGGAACUGAGACACGGUCCAG